This 467-nucleotide ribosomal RNA is filed under the name uncultured bacterium. RNAcentral's name for it is "partial 16S ribosomal RNA". It matches the Rfam family "Bacterial small subunit ribosomal RNA", at positions 29 to 507 of the family's 1533-position model. The record is from RNAcentral.
ACGAACGCUGGCGGCGUGCUUAACACAUGCAAGUCGAACGGAAAGGCCCUGCUUUUGUGGGGUGCUCGAGUGGCGAACGGGUGAGUAACACGUGAGUAACCUGCCCUUGACUUUGGGAUAACUUCAGGAAACUGGGGCUAAUACCGGAUAGGAGCUCCUGCUGCAUGGUGGGGGUUGGAAAGUUUCGGCGGUUGGGGAUGGACUCGCGGCUUAUCAGCUUGUUGGUGGGGUAGUGGCUUACCAAGGCUUUGACGGGUAGCCGGCCUGAGAGGGUGACCGGCCACAUUGGGACUGAGAUACGGCCCAGACUCCUACGGGAGGCAGCAGUGGGGAAUAUUGCACAAUGGGCGGAAGCCUGAUGCAGCAACGCCGCGUGCGGGAUGACGGCCUUCGGGUUGUAAACCGCUUUCGCCUGUGACGAAGCGUGGGUGACGGUAAUGGGUAAAGAAGCACCGGCUAACUACGUG